This 396-nucleotide ribosomal RNA is filed under the name uncultured soil bacterium. RNAcentral describes it as "bacterial SSU rRNA". It matches the Rfam family "Bacterial small subunit ribosomal RNA", at positions 26 to 421 of the family's 1533-position model. The record is from RNAcentral.
AGAUUGAACGCUGGCGGCAGGCCUAACACAUGCAAGUCGAGCGGCAGCACGGGUACUUGUACCUGGUGGCGAGCGGCGGACGGGUGAGUAAUGCCUAGGAAUCUGCCUGGUAGUGGGGGAUAACGCUCGGAAACGGACGCUAAUACCGCAUACGUCCUACGGGAGAAAGCAGGGGACCUUCGGGCCUUGCGCUAUCAGAUGAGCCUAGGUCGGAUUAGCUAGUUGGUGAGGUAAUGGCUCACCAAGGCGACGAUCCGUAACUGGUCUGAGAGGAUGAUCAGUCACACUGGAACUGAGACACGGUCCAGACUCCUACGGGAGGCAGCAGUGGGGAAUAUUGGACAAUGGGCGAAAGCCUGAUCCAGCCAUGCCGCGUGUGUGAAGUAAGGUCUUCGG